AGAGCGGUAGCCCGGAGAUGGGUACUGAGACAAGGACCCAGGCCCUACGGGGCGCAGCAGUCGCGAAAACUCCGCAAUGCACGAAAGUGUGACGGGGCUACCCCGAGUGCUCUCCGCUGAGGAAAGCUUUUCUCUGGUGUAACAAGCCAGGGGAAUAAGGAGAGGGCA
Molecule: ribosomal RNA, 168 nt
Filed under: Candidatus Bathyarchaeota archaeon
Lineage: Archaea; Thermoproteati; Candidatus Bathyarchaeota
Description: partial 16S ribosomal RNA
Rfam family: Archaeal small subunit ribosomal RNA
Source: RNAcentral